GUGUGUGUUUGUGUGUGCUCUCCCUCCUCACUGUGUCCUCUCACUCCUCACUCAAACUGUGUUUGCACCUGGAUGGGUUAAAAGCAGAAGACCGCUUUUGUUUACGGAUAAAACCAUACUUGACUUUACUCACUUCAAAAAAUGCUGGCAAUGAUACUCCGCAAAACCAAGCUGAUCCCAUAGAAUGAUGUCAGCAGGAAGAGAAGGAGCGUCAAGAUGAACUGUCUGUGAUUCGCUUGGCCUACACAGCUGUUUAUCCUGCCAUGGAAAGACACAAAGACACAAAAGUCAGCAAUCAUGUGUGCACGCAUGCAGACAUUUUCAUUAAAAUAACUGAAGUUUAAAAAAAGUUGAACUUGAAUGUGGUUUGAUUGAGGAUUCUGUGGUCUGUGGCAUGUUUAUGUUAUCUGUGCCUCUGUCUGUCUGUGUGUGUGUUGAAGCAGCAUGCAGACAGAUUGGCCUGGUGAGAGCUUGCUUUACUGUGCUGAAAGCUGCGUUCCUGUGGCCUUUGCACAUGUCUCACCAGCCUGCCCUGCUCCAGUGACGUCUUUGGGGAAUCAGCUUGAACAUAUGCGUGUGUCUGAUGGGGAAGUGUGUGCUUGCAUACAAUUGAGAAAGUAUCAGAAAGAGUCAGAUUACUGGCUUGAGCACCAGAGGAUUGACUUACUGUAUGAUUAGUUUGAGAAUUGUUCAACUUCUGUAGCAAUGCUAUGCAUGAAGCCAAAUAAGACACAUUUUAAGGCACAGAUACAACAAUAAAAUAAAUAUUACAAAUCAAAGGACAUGUCAUAAUUUCAAUUAUUUUACAACAAGCUCAGCCAUAAAGUUAUAAUUUUUUUUAAAUGGGACAGUGAUGGCAAAAUUACUAAUAUGUACAGUAACCCUAGACCACUGGUCUUAUGUGGCAUGGGUAUAUUUUUGGCAAUAAUCAAAAAUUUAUUGUAUGCAACAUAGGCUCAUUCUGAAAACGUAGACCCAUAUAUUUAUUUCAAG
RNAcentral lists this long non-coding RNA (993 nucleotides) under Danio rerio (zebrafish). RNAcentral's name for it is "si:ch211-137i24.15 (ENSDARG00000097282.3)". Lineage: Eukaryota; Metazoa; Chordata; Actinopteri; Cypriniformes; Danionidae. The record is from RNAcentral.